Molecule: long non-coding RNA, 1350 nt
Filed under: Taeniopygia guttata (zebra finch)
Lineage: Eukaryota; Metazoa; Chordata; Aves; Passeriformes; Estrildidae
Description: lncRNA (ENSTGUG00000026774.1)
Source: RNAcentral
AGGAGCGAUUGAAUCGGGGGCCAUUAACAGAUUAAAUCAUUACACGGAGUCAGAUCAGCACACAAAUAAUAUGAAUAAUAAACGUGGCCCGGGGGCAGCAGCUCCUGCCUGCCGUUUGUCUCAGCCAGAAGGAGGGCUGGUGACUGCCACCACCCGCGUGCUGCGGGGACAGGGGACACUGGGAAGAGCUCUGGGGUUGGGGACAAUGACACCAGAUGUGCCAGUGUGACCCUGCCCCUUUCUGCGCGUCCCUUUUGGGGCCCAUCAGCAUCCUGCUCACCCCAAUGAGGUCUCGCAGCCCCCCAGCCCCAGCAGCCCUGCAGGGACCCCCCCCCCAUCCUCACCCAGCCUUUCCUUCUCCCCCAAAUCUCCUUCCCCGCUGCAUUUCCUUCCCUUCCAGGUUCCCCUCUGGAGAAGGGGAGCAGCCACGUCCCUGCUCUGCUCCAAAGGGUUCAAAGGCAGUGCAGACACGUCAAUAAAAGGCUCCAAACAAUGGGAAAACGUCUUUUCUCCCCAACUUAAUUUCAUUCCCGUCACCAAAACCCCCGAGGAGUUGGAAACAAAGCCUGAGCAGCCUCUGCAUGGGCACGGGGAGGGGGUCGAGCCCUCCCUGGGCUGCCACAGGGUUAAUUCGCAUCUCAGCACGUCACAUUUAUUCUGCUGGCGAAUCCUUUCUUCCCUAAAUUCCUGCUUGCCCAGGAAGGCUGGAGAAAGUCUGAGCUGCUGCGACAACACCUGGGAAGGAGCAUUAUUAUGUGGUGUGACAAGGUUUGAUGAAUUCCUGUGUGCCUGGGGGAAGGGACUAAGGAGGAGUCAUUUGAUGCCACUAAUCAUGGCUGUGAUCCGGCACGCCGCGAUGUGUAAUGACAACGCUGAACAGGAAAAAUGGCACUCGGAUCCUCCGCUCUUCCCGCUCUAAUCUAUAUUUUACCACAUCUUUCUACCUAAUGAUACUUAUAAAUGUUAAUAAAUGACUACUUAGGCACUUCCUUUUUUUUUUCUUUUAAUUUAAUUUUUUUUGUGGCAGUGGGUGAUAAAAUAAUUCUGGGUUAAAAUAUCAGAAUGGGAAAAGGAAGUGAGGGGGUCAAGUGUUUCCCUGGUCAUUGGAAGACACUCACAUGGUGGGAAGUUCAGAGAGGCUUUCGCUGCUCAGAACUUGAUGGCCUCUGUGUUAAAAUAACAACUGUUACAAAAAGAAAAAAAGAAACUCUAAAAGAAACAAUUUUAAAAUGAAGUUUCCUCACUGCAGGAAGAAGAUCCUCCUGGCAUGGUGCCCAACACCUUCAGGAUGAAUUAUCGUGCCAUUCCUCACACUCCAACUCAUUUCAUCACAAAAUUAAAGAGAAUCUG